Molecule: long non-coding RNA, 605 nt
Organism: Beta vulgaris subsp. vulgaris (sugar beet)
Lineage: Eukaryota; Viridiplantae; Streptophyta; Magnoliopsida; Caryophyllales; Amaranthaceae
Exons: 2
Source: RefSeq, a predicted model, not a curated record
AAUUAUUGAUUUGCGUCGAACCCGAAGCCCAUGCAACGCACAUCAGUUGGGCCGUCCUUAUUUUCGAGCCCUAACAAAUAUCCAUCUCAUCCUCUCCCUCUUAACCUAAAACUCCAACUCCCCAUCUCCCUCUUAACGUAAAACUCCCUCUCUGAACGCCGCUUCUUCCUCCCUCUCUCUGUCCUUCACUCGUCGAAAUUCAUCAAUCUGGAAAUUCCCUGUCUCCGAUCUGUUCGUUCCUUCGACCCUCUCAUCUCCCCAUAUCAGGCAACUCGAAAAUUCACGAGCAAUUUUCCGGACCCUCUCGAUCGUUCGACCUUUCUCGAUCUGUCAUCUCUUUCAUCCUCACCACCACAGUGGAGCAACACACUCCAUCUUCAUUCAACGAGAAACGCGCUGACAUCAAUGGCGAAGAAAAAUACGAAUGCAAUUUUCGUAUUGUGCUCGAGUAUGAGUCACGAGCAGCAAUUGAUAGCUAAACAGGAAGAAGACAUCAGUUUUUUUAUUUCAGCAAUUUCUGUAUUGUCUGUAAUUUUCUUUUUUGAUUUUCUGUAAUUUUCUCGUUUUAAUUUUCUGUAAUUCAUCUAUUUUUUUUAGUUUUUUUU